UCGACGAUAUUUUCCAGCUUGCUGGAAGAAAAAGUGGCGCACGGGUGCGUAACGCGUAUGCAACCUACCUUAAUCAGGGGGAUAGCCCGGAGAAAUCCGGAUUAACACCGCAUAAAAACACAGGAUAGCAUUAUCCAAUGUUCAAAUAUUUAUAGGAUUGAGAUGGGCAUGCGUGUCAUUAGCUAGUUGGCGGGGUAACGGCCCACCAAGGCGACGAUGACUAGGGGAUCUGAGAGGAUGACCCCCCACACUGGUACUGAGACACGGACCAGACUCCUACGGGAGGCAGCAGUAAGGAAUAUUGGUCAAUGGAGGCAACUCUGAACCAGCCAUGCCGCGUGCAGGAAGACUGCCCUAUGGGUUGUAAACUGCUUUUAUCCGGGAAUAAACCUCUUUACGUGUAGAGAGCUGAAUGUACCGGAAGAAUAAGGGAUCGGCUAACUCCGUGCCAGCAGCCGCGGUAAUACGGAGGAUCCAAGCGUUAUCCGGAUUUAUUGGGUUUAAAGGGUGCGUAGGCGGCCUGUUAAGUCAGGGGUGAAAGACGGUAGCUCAACUAUCGCAGUGCCCUUGAUACUGAUGGGCUUGAAUGGACUAGAGGUAGGCGGAAUGAGACAAGUAGCGGUGAAAUGCAUAGAUAUGUCUCAGAACACCGAUUGCGAAGGCAGCUUACUAUGGUCUUAUUGACGCUGAGGCACGAAAGCGUGGGGAUCAAACAGGAUUAGAUACCCUGGUAGUCCACGCCCUAAACGAUGAACACUCGCUGUUGGCGAUACACAGUCAGCGGCUAAGCGAAAGCGUUAAGUGUUCCACCUGGGGAGUACGGUCGCAAGAUUGAAACUCAAAGGAAUUGACGGGGGCCCGCACAAGCGGAGGAGCAUGUGGUUUAAUUCGAUGAUACGCGAGGAACCUUACCCGGGCUUGAAAGUUAGUGAAUGAUUUAGAGAUAGAUCAGUCCGCAAGGACACGAAACUAGGUGCUGCAUGGCUGUCGUCAGCUCGUGCCGUGAGGUGUUGGGUUAAGUCCCGCAACGAGCGCAACCCCUAUGUUUAGUUGCCAGCACGUAAUGGUGGGGACUCUAAACAGACUGCCUGUGCAAACAGAGAGGAAGGAGGGGACGACGUCAAGUCAUCAUGGCCCUUACGUCCGGGGCUACACACGUGCUACAAUGGAUGGUACAGAGGGCAGCUACAUAGCAAUAUGAUGCGAAUCUCACAAAGCCAUUCACAGUUCGGAUUGGGGUCUGCAACUCGACCCCAUGAAGUUGGAUUCGCUAGUAAUCGCGUAUCAGCAAUGACGCGGUGAAUACGUUCCCGGGCCUUGUACACACCGCCCGUCAAGCCAUGGAAGUUGGGGGUACCUAAAGUAUGUAACCGCAA
Molecule: ribosomal RNA, 1376 nt
Filed under: Pedobacter sp. PA1Nov
Lineage: Bacteria; Pseudomonadati; Bacteroidota; Sphingobacteriia; Sphingobacteriales; Sphingobacteriaceae
Description: bacterial SSU rRNA
Rfam family: Bacterial small subunit ribosomal RNA
Source: RNAcentral